GAUCCGUGGCUCGAGGACGAACGGCUGGCGGCGUGCCUAAUACAUGCAAGUCGAACGGUCUUUCUAUGGAAGCUUGCUUCCACUGAGAAGAUAGUGGCGAACGGGUGAGUAACACGUGGGUAACCUGCCCAUAAGAGGGGGAUAACAUCCGGAAACGGGUGCUAAUACCGCAUAGUUUUCUUGAUCGCAUGAUCGGGAAGGAAAGACGGCCUUUGUGCUGUCGCUUAUGGAUGGACCCGCGGCGUAUUAGUUAGUUGGUGAGGUAACGGCUCACCAAGACGAUGAUACGUAGCCGACCUGAGAGGGUGAUCGGCCACAUUGGGACUGAGACACGGCCCAAACUCCUACGGGAGGCAGCAGUAGGGAAUCUUCCGCAAUGGACGAAAGUCUGACGGAAGCAACGCCGCGUGAGUGAUGACGGCCUUCGGGUUGUAAAGCUCUGUCUUCAGGGACGAUAAUGACGGUACCUGAGGAGGAAGCCACGGCUAACUACGUGCCAGCAGCCGC
This 507-nucleotide ribosomal RNA is filed under the name uncultured bacterium. RNAcentral describes it as "bacterial SSU rRNA". It matches the Rfam family "Bacterial small subunit ribosomal RNA", at positions 26 to 518 of the family's 1533-position model. The record is from RNAcentral.